AAAGUGUUGCCACUGAUUUUAAUAGGUAGGGUUUUAGCUCUUUAAACAAAACAGCCAAAUAAAACCAGAUAGAAAUCCCUUAAUUUUCCAUGUUUGAAAGGAAAACACAUCAGGGUAUUGUUUCUACAAGCAGAUGACAGAGGCCUGCUUGGAGUUUGCUUAAAUCACUGGUCUAAUAUAAAAAGAUCAUGUGACUGUUCUAAGUUUCUAAAGUUGUAUUUUUUUUAUGCUUUCUGAUUCCACACCAGUCACACCUGGAAUUACAUGGGUUUAACUGAGCAGCUGAAAACUUAUAAUUUUAACAAUUUAGAAGAUUAACUGUUUGGAUCUAAACAUUCUCAUAUUACGCUUUCUAUGAGCUACACUUACUUCACAUAUAAUUUUAACCUGAAUUAUUUGGAAAAAACCCCAUUCUCUUAUAGCCUGGAAAAUUAAGGUUUUAAAAAGUGGACUUACGCAAAUGAGAUUACUCUUUAGCAUUUUACAUACAAAUAGCUGAAACUUCAGAAUAGAUAAGUAAACACAGAACAAAUUUUCUUUCAUAAAUACCAGAAUUCAACCUAGCAGCCUCCUCAUCUUGGAAUUCCAUAACUUUUAAAGGAAAAUAUUAGAAAACACAUGGAAAUAUUAUUAUGCUAUAAUUAGAAAACUCAGGAAAAUAAAUUUUAUAAAGGUAGGGUGAACUUUAAACAUCAAUAUGAUUUUGGGAUUUACUUUGGAGAACUAAAAUCCUCCAUUUGAAAAUACAAAGCAAAGUUAAUUAGAAAACACAGUUUGAGCAAAGAGAGCUCUUGCAAAGGGCUCUUAAAAAGGAUCACCUUGAAUGUGUUUGAUGCUGAGGCGAUGCCAUAACUUUUCUUCACACAAAAGCAGUAAUCUACAGAGCACAACCAGAUGUUAAGUUUUCUUUUCUUAGUUUCUGUAAACCUCUGUGACCUCUCUCAAAUUAAAAAAGGGAAUAGCAUUUUUAAAGCCACAGGAGCUAUAAUUAGUGAAGCAUUCUAAGGAUUUUCAUUAAUUCAUAGCCAGCCAACCAGGAAUUUUCCCACAGCCGUAUACAAAAAAAAAGUCAGGGAAGUCAUUGAUUGCUUGGUUGGAUUUGAAUGUAGUCAGAAGUAAGAUCAGAAAUACCUAGUCACUCCCACUGAUACAAGCAUGAAGAACAUAGGCAAGGUCAGAAAUUAAAAUCCAAGUCUGCCCACCAACCAUGAGGAAAAUCCAGCAGGGCCAUAUAGCAGGGUGUAUAGAAAUGGUUAUUGCACACGAUUUUGCGAGAUAAAGGAUCAUUACAAAUCAAUCAUUUGGAAACCCAAGGCCAGAAGGUGCAGCUCCAAGCAGCUCUGCAGGCCCAGCAGCCCCAGAGCCGCCUGACGCUGUCCAGCCACUGCAACGCCCACAGCAGCUCACGGCCCUCACAAUUUAUGGAACCCUUUGAACUCCGCACGCUUCUGAACAGCCCCUCAUUGCUCCUGUGAGCCCAGGAGUGGCACCCAGGAGCUGCACCUCGUGUGAGAUGCUCUGAACACAAAGGCUGGAGGAGACACAAGGGCAGAUUUCAGCAGCAGUGCCCGCCAAGAGCCCGCAGGGCCCCGCGGGCCCGAGAUGUGCGCGGGCAGGGGCAGCAGGGAAGGACAGGCCCCUGGACAGACCCCGGGCAGGGGCAGGAUGGAAGGACAGACCGGACAGACCCCGGGCAGGGGCAGGAGGGAGGAACAGACCCCCGGGCAGGAAGGAGGGACAGACACCCGAGCUGCUGGAGCGCUCAUUCCGCGCUGCCACCAAAGGCUGCACAGCCAGCGCAGGAGGCAGUGUGGCAAGCACAUUUCUCUCCCUCUCAAGAUUUUUCAUAGAGGUGCACAGACAGAAAUGAAAGAGAAAACAAUUUAUAUUUCUGCUUCUUGUUUUUCCUAUGUGGAAUGUGUUUGGAGAAUUGUUUACCUGGGGUGAUUGCUUGAUUGGAUUCUGGUGAGGAUUAUUUGAGCCUGAUGGCCAAUCCAACCCACCUGGGGCUGGACUGGAGAGAGAGGGUCACAAGUUGUGUUAGAGUCAGAGAAAGUAGUAUGUAGUUUUAUCCUCCUUUUAUACAGCAUAUUAAUAUAUUAUAACUAAUGUAUUAGUUAUAAUAAAUAAUUCAGCCUUCAUCAUUUCUUCCCAUUGGGUUCGCCUGCAUUUACAAUAGGGCAGCGCUCCGCUGGCACUGCCGAGGGCUGGCACAGCACCAACAGGCACAGAUUGACUCAGAUCAGUCACAGACACACAGUUCGGGUUCUCCUCAAUCAACCAGAACACACAUCUCAGAGUUCAUGCUUGCAGGUAUGAUACCUGAUGUAGCAUGGAGUCCCCUAGGACAGAGCUACCUCUCACAUUUAUUUGGGCUUGUUGGAGCAUUAUUGAUGCACCCCAGAAGCAGAUUUACUGUCUUGCUGAAUAACAGCCCAAGGAGGAAUAAUAAAAAUAGAAUGGAACAAUUCUUCAAAGCCAAUAGCGACAUAAUAUUGUAACAGCCUUCAAGUGAGAGAAUUUCAGAGAAUAUAGUAUCUCUUGUAACAUUAAUCAGUGCUGAUGCCUGAUAAAACUCUAAUCCAAGCUUUCAUUAUUUUUCAUAAUCAAAUCAAACUUUGGGAGAACAAAUCCCAACCUGCACACUUGAUUUUCCUCACACUCCUGGAAUCUACCUUGCAGAGAUGAGAGGUGACAGGAAAACAAUGUACCUUUAAAAUCCAUAAAUGGCGUCUUGGACAUGACACUGAAAGUACAAUUUACUAAGAGAAACAAGUGGAAGCAUGUUAAAAUUACACAUUUAUACCCUGGUUUGGCUGGCAGAAUUUUGGCUAACCAGAGUGAUAAUACCUGUGUUUCUGUUGUAUGAAUAUUGCAAUGAACCUAUCCAUUACUGGCAUAUGCCUGUAUUCACUACUUUACUAAGUUUAUAUCUGGUCAAAGUUUUUAUGAUAAAAUCCCAUAGAAAUAUUGGGUGUCAGUAUGUGCCACUCCUUUUGAGGACAGCUGGGGAGGACAGUGAAACAAUUAUAAAAUUCUAUACUUGAAAAAUCCUUUUUCAAGUCUAGACUUAAAUUUUGACCCUUAAAUAAAGUCUCACAUUACCAUAACCUAAACCUAAAGUACUUCAGAUGUCUUGACUGACCUAACAUUAUUUUAGGUUACUGUAACUUAAACUUCCAUUCAAUCCUUUUUUAUAAUUCACAUAGAGAUAAGGAUAUAAAAAAUAAGCAUUCAUACAACUCAUACUACUUUUAUCAGUUUUUUUCCCAGGUGUGAUGUCUUAAUACAUAAUACUAAUUUUUAAACAUAAAAACAAGAAUGUAAACACUGCUAUAGGAACAUCAGCACUAACCUAAACUUUUAGAAAAAACGUAUUUCAGAUAUACCUCAUUAUACUGGUAGCAGUAAAUAUAAAAUCAAAGCAAUAUACUUGAAAAAAAUUUUACUUUUAAAAACUAAAAAUGGCAUUCGAGCUCAAAAGUUCUGCAGGAAUACUUCACACUCCUGUUGUUUGCUUCUAAAAACACAUGCUAAAUUUAUGGGUAAAAUUCAGCCUUUGAGCAUAAUUAAGCAGGCAAGCUCACAUCAAAGCUUUGUUUCAUCAUCUUUAGACUGAUCUGUUGGACAGCUGGUCCUUAUUAAACACCCUUUAAAUGUUGCAGUUUUAAGUAAGUAACAUCCAUGUUAUAUUAACAUUACCAAAUAAUUAACUAAAGAAAAACUAGUAUCAUCUAAUCAUGACAGCCUAACAUCCUUUCACCCGUGGACUAUAAAGUAUUAAUCUGUUAAAGCAGAACUUGUUCUUAAAUAAAUGUCUCAAGAUUUUAAAUGAACAAGUCUGAUACAGCAGUUUCUGUACUUGUACUAACUCAAAAGCAGAUUUUGAGGGGAAGUACGGCAGGGAGUGGAGUUCAGCAUCUAAAGUAAGGGACACAUUCUAGAGAGGAAAUCAAUCAAAUCUGUAACAGUCCCAAGUGACUUCAACUGCAGAAACCCUGUUAAAUCAACAGCUGAUGAAUUAUCAUCAUAUUCAGAUUGCCCAGUUUCAUGCAAACACAUAAGGAAAUACACAAUUUUGUUGGAAACACACAAUUUCGUUGCUAAUACUGAGAGUUAGUUUCAAUUACAUAAACAUAUGUUUCCAUAUUUUUUCCUCUAGGUCAUGUAUUUGAAUGCUCAUUCUGAAAACACAGCAUUAAACUGUAGAGCCUCACAGUUCCUGAGGAAACAGUCAUCUGUGACUUUAAACAUUAACAUAUUUAUGCUACUUUGUGCAUUUUUUAAAUCAUUUAAAUAGGCAGAUUGUCAUCAACACUUUUUGACACUAGAGUAGGAAUGGGUCUCAUUCUCUGCUACAUAAUUCAAUAAAUGAAAUUCAAAAGGAAACCCCAAAACAAGCCCUGGAGGGACCCCGAAGCCAAACUCUAAGCUAAACAAAAGUGAUACAGAUGCCUACCUGCAUGACUGACCAUGCCUGCAAAGCCUUGCACUCAACAUGUUGCAUUGUAUCUAAUCACAGAACACAGGAAGCUUUAAGUGACACAUCUCAUCAAUUCUGAAAUGUUAUCAAUUGUUCUGGAUGCCAGGGAGAGAAUCUAUUGAUUCUAUAAAUUCCAAAAAAAUGGCACAGAGAGAACUGCUGGCAUCUGGUCUGCAGAGCCUUAAAGCAGCUCUGGAACUGUCUAUAGAUUAAAGAACACCCUGAUGGCAAACAUUAACACCUUCCACUAUGCUCCAUCUUAGGUCUGUCUUCUGCCCAAUACCUUUUAAAAUUUUUAAAUACUCUGCAAGAGAAAAUCUGGGGUUUUUAACUGUUGGAAAAUAACAUUAAAUAGAAGGGAGAAAUUUAAAUUUCGGUAAUUUCUCACCAUUUUAAAGGAUGUUUUUCCUCCAAAAUAAAGUUCCCAAAACAUGUCCUUAGCUAGGAAAAGUAUUUCUGUAUGACCUAGCUCUGUGCCUGGUAGAUUCCUAAAUGUGGAGAAGUGUAAGUCUACUUUGGUAUGCUUGAGGAGAUAAAUGUAGGGACAGAGCAGCAUGAGCCUAAAGAAUAAUUAGGCAGGCAGAGAUCCCAAUAGUGGAGCAGUAGGACAUCUUCAGUGUCUCUGCUCUGAAGUGAAAGGAAAUAGAAAGUUCCUCACAUAAAGAGAAGGGGACACAGGGAGUUUCAGGGGGAGUGCACGGGAACAGAGCCCUCCAGUCUGUCUGAGCAGCUUUGCUUAGCAGAGCAAAGGAAGGUACAACUCUCUGCUAAUGAGGAAAGGAGGGCUGGUAAAAUGCUGGAUUAUUUGUUCUUCCUCAUCAUACAGUCCCAUUAAAUUUAUGCUUUAUACUGAACACGGUUCAGUGCCAGGAAGUUCAGAGGAAUUAAACAUAUGAAAAAAAUUACUCAUGUGUGCAGUCCCAUUAGAAUCUACAGAACAACUUGAAAGUAAAGUUGCUCAUGUGUUUAACACCGAAUAAAUGAAUCUGAAAUAUAUUCAAAUCAUUCUCAGAUCAUACGUCUGUCUUCUCUGUGCACCUCAUGGCUUGUUUAUAGCAUGAGAAAAAUUCAGGGUCUGCUUUUCCAGAGCAGCUCCCCAUGUGGACACACUUAUUCUAGAUUAAAACAGGCCCUUCUCUGAACUACUGCAAUUCUGGAUAAAGGUAUGCACAUGAGGUCCUAAGAUCAUCCAUAUGGAAAACUACUUUGCAAUACUAUUCUACUUUAAGCAA
This 5715-nucleotide long non-coding RNA is filed under the name Taeniopygia guttata (zebra finch). Its description in RNAcentral is "lncRNA (ENSTGUG00000021318.1)". The record is from RNAcentral. Lineage: Eukaryota; Metazoa; Chordata; Aves; Passeriformes; Estrildidae.